RNAcentral lists this ribosomal RNA (460 nucleotides) under uncultured bacterium. Its description in RNAcentral is "partial 16S ribosomal RNA". It matches the Rfam family "Bacterial small subunit ribosomal RNA", at positions 338 to 795 of the family's 1533-position model. The record is from RNAcentral.
CCUACGUGAGGCAGCAGUGAGGAAUAUUGGUCAAUGGACGGAAGUCUGAACCAGCCAUGCCGCGUGCAGGAAGACGGCUCUAUGAGUUGUAAACUGCUUUUGUACAAGGGUAAACCUGAAUACGUGUAUUCAGCUGAAAGUACUGUACGAAUAAGGAUCGGCUAACUCCGUGCCAGCAGACGCGGUAAUACGGAGGAUCCAAGCGUUAUCCGGAUUUAUUGGGUUUAAAGGGUGCGUAGGCGGAUUGAGAAGUUAGAGGUGAAAUGUCCGAGCUUAACUCGGGAACUGCCUUUAAUACUGUUGAUCUAGAGAGUAGAUGCGGUAGGCGGAAUGUAUGGUGUAGCGGUGAAAUGCUUAGAGAUCAUACAGAACACCGAUUGCGAAGGCAGCUUACCAAUCUAUAUCUGACGUUGAGGCACGAAAGCGUGGGGAGCAAACAGGAUUAGAUACCCCAGUAGUC